GAUGAACGCUGGCGGCGUGCCUAAUACAUGCAAGUCGAGCGAACAGACGAGGAGCUUGCUCCUCUGACGUUAGCGGCGGACGGGUGAGUAACACGUGGAUAACCUACCUAUAAGACUGGGAUAACUUCGGGAAACCGGAGCUAAUACCGGAUAAUAUAUUGAACCGCAUGGUUCAAUAGUGAAAGACGGUUUUGCUGUCACUUAUAGAUGGAUCCGCGCCGCAUUAGCUAGUUGGUAAGGUAACGGCUUACCAAGGCGACGAUGCGUAGCCGACCUGAGAGGGUGAUCGGCCACACUGGAACGGAGACACGGUCCAGACUCCUACGGGAGGCAGCAGUAGGGAAUCUUCCGCAAUGGGCGAAAGCCUGACGGAGCAACGCCACGUGAGUGAUGAAGGUCUUCGGAUCGUAAAACUCUGUUAUUAGGGAAGAACAAAUGUGUAAGUAACUAUGCACGUCUUGACGGUACCUAAUCAGAAAGCCACGGCUAACUACGUG
Molecule: ribosomal RNA, 497 nt
Filed under: uncultured bacterium
Lineage: Bacteria
Description: partial 16S ribosomal RNA
Rfam family: Bacterial small subunit ribosomal RNA
Source: RNAcentral